This 77-nucleotide transfer RNA is filed under the name Clostridium sp. RNAcentral's name for it is "tRNA-Arg". It matches the Rfam family "tRNA". From Rfam's summary of the family: Transfer RNA (tRNA) molecules are approximately 80 nucleotides in length. Their secondary structure includes four short double-helical elements and three loops (D, anti-codon, and T loops). Further hydrogen bonds mediate the characteristic L-shaped molecular structure. tRNAs have two regions of fundamental functional importance: the anti-codon, which is responsible for specific mRNA codon recognition, and the 3' end, to which the tRNAs corresponding amino acid is attached (by aminoacyl-tRNA synthetases). tRNAs cope with the degeneracy of the genetic code in two manners: having more than one tRNA (with a specific anti-codon) for a particular amino acid; and 'wobble' base-pairing, i.e. permitting non-standard base-pairing at the 3rd anti-codon position. Lineage: Bacteria; Bacillati; Bacillota; Clostridia; Eubacteriales; Clostridiaceae. RNAcentral also lists the same sequence under 1 other name. The record is from RNAcentral.
GCACCCAUAGCUCAGAUGGAUAGAGUGAUGGACUUCGAAUCCAGAGGUCGGGAGUUCGAGCCUCCCUGGGUGCACCA